AUGGGAGCCAAGGGGGCGGCAAUGGCAUCGUCGGCGGCGGGGACGGCGGCGCUGGUCUAUGUCGUGCUCUCUGGACGGCUGUCCCCCGACGGCGCGGAGGAGGCGCCAAGGAGGCGGCACGGGCGGAGGGGCGUCGACGGGGGAAGCGAGGCGAGGUGGCCGGAGAGCGCGCCGGCGAGCUGGAGGGAGGCCGCGGCCGUGGUGGCGAGGACGGUGAGGUUCGCGUACGGCGAGACGCUGGGGAAGUGGCCGCUCGGGGACAUCGCCUUCGGGAUCAGCCACUACAUGCGCCUCCAGAUCAUUGGGCAUUCCAUGGGUGCUGCUAUUGCAGCUAUUUUAACAUACAUACUACGCGAGAACAAGAAGUUAUCAUCAUCUUCAUGUAUUGCCUUUGGACCAGCUGCUUGCAUGAGCUGGGACUUGGCUGAGUCCAGCAAAGACUUUGUCACCACUGUUGUCAAUAAAAAUGAUCUGGUCCCAUCUUUUGGCAAGGUCUCAGCCUCUGAGCUCCGUACAAAGGUUAUGGCAUCAUCCUGGGCACCUGGUCUUCAGGAACGUAUUCAGCAGAAAAGACUCCUGAGUUUUAUAAACCACUCUGUAGACUUCGUGCGAUCCUACAUUCCUUUUGUAUCCAGUCCAACUUCUAAGGUUGCAGAUGUCAAUAUGCUGCCACCUUGGACUGCCAAGGAUGAGAUGAAGCAUUCAGAAGGUGUGCAUGAAGUAGUGAAGGAGCAUUCUGCCCUAUCAUGCUGGACAUAUGUUGCUACAAAGAGUCAAACUUUUGAUGAAACUGAGAAAGGAACAGAUGGAGAACACAUGGAGCAGCUCCUGGAAGCCCUGCGAUCGCCGCCAAGUGCCUCUGAGACACCUCGGCAUCGCCAGUUGUACCCCCCAGGAAGAAUCAUGCACAUGGUUGCAUUGCGAAUAUCAGAAGAGCAAGGCAGCCAGACUGAGGGUGUUGCCCUCUACGAGACCCCUCGCGACAUGUACAACAAGAUCCGACUCGACAAAUCGAUGAUAAGGGACCAUUACAUGCCUAGGUACAUUGAGACGAUGGAGAUGCUCAUCGACCAGCUUGCAGAGAAUGACGUGCCUCCCAGUGACACCAACAACGUCCGGUUGGACUAA
Molecule: ribosomal RNA, 1128 nt
Filed under: Triticum aestivum (bread wheat)
Lineage: Eukaryota; Viridiplantae; Streptophyta; Magnoliopsida; Poales; Poaceae
Description: partial small subunit ribosomal RNA
Source: RNAcentral